RNAcentral lists this ribosomal RNA (1346 nucleotides) under Staphylococcus aureus. Its description in RNAcentral is "partial 23S ribosomal RNA". It matches the Rfam family "Bacterial large subunit ribosomal RNA", at positions 892 to 2238 of the family's 2925-position model. Lineage: Bacteria; Bacillati; Bacillota; Bacilli; Caryophanales; Staphylococcaceae. The record is from RNAcentral.
AUUAUUGGAGGUAGAGCACUGUUUGGACGAGGGGCCCCUCUCGGGUUACCGAAUUCAGACAAACUCCGAAUGCCAAUUAAUUUAACUUGGGAGUCAGAACAUGGGUGAUAAGGUCCGUGUUCGAAAGGGAAACAGCCCAGACCACCAGCUAAGGUCCCAAAAUAUAUGUUAAGUGGAAAAGGAUGUGGCGUUGCCCAGACAACUAGGAUGUUGGCUUAGAAGCAGCCAUCAUUUAAAGAGUGCGUAAUAGCUCACUAGUCGAGUGACACUGCGCCGAAAAUGUACCGGGGCUAAACAUAUUACCGAAGCUGUGGAUUGUCCUUUGGACAAUGGUAGGAGAGCGUUCUAAGGGCGUUGAAGCAUGAUCGUAAGGACAUGUGGAGCGCUUAGAAGUGAGAAUGCCGGUGUGAGUAGCGAAAGACGGGUGAGAAUCCCGUCCACCGAUUGACUAAGGUUUCCAGAGGAAGGCUCGUCCGCUCUGGGUUAGUCGGGUCCUAAGCUGAGGCCGACAGGCGUAGGCGAUGGAUAACAGGUUGAUAUUCCUGUACCACCUAUAAUCGUUUUAAUCGAUGGGGGGACGCAGUAGGAUAGGCGAAGCGUGCGAUUGGAUUGCACGUCUAAGCAGUAAGGCUGAGUAUUAGGCAAAUCCGGUACUCGUUAAGGCUGAGCUGUGAUGGGGAGAAGACAUUGAGUCUUCGAGUCGUUGAUUUCACACUGCCGAGAAAAGCCUCUAGAUAGAAAAUAGGUGCCCGUACCGCAAACCGACACAGGUAGUCAAGAUGAGAAUUCUAAGGUGAGCGAGCGAACUCUCGUUAAGGAACUCGGCAAAAUGACCCCGUAACUUCGGGAGAAGGGGUGCUCUUUAGGGUUAACGCCCAGAAGAGCCGCAGUGAAUAGGCCCAAGCGACUGUUUAUCAAAAACACAGGUCUCUGCUAAACCGUAAGGUGAUGUAUAGGGGCUGACGCCUGCCCGGUGCUGGAAGGUUAAGAGGAGUGGUUAGCUUCUGCGAAGCUACGAAUCGAAGCCCCAGUAAACGGCGGCCGUAACUAUAACGGUCCUAAGGUAGCGAAAUUCCUUGUCGGGUAAGUUCCGACCCGCACGAAAGGCGUAACGAUUUGGGCACUGUCUCAACGAGAGACUCGGUGAAAUCAUAGUACCUGUGAAGAUGCAGGUUACCCGCGACAGGACGGAAAGACCCCGUGGAGCUUUACUGUAGCCUGAUAUUGAAAUUCGGCACAGCUUGUACAGGAUAGGUAGGAGCCUUUGAAACGUGAGCGCUAGCUUACGUGGAGGCGCUGGUGGGAUACUACCCUAGCUGUGUUGGCUUUCUAACCCGCACCACUUA